Long non-coding RNA from Paramormyrops kingsleyae, 770 nucleotides. RefSeq lists it as uncharacterized. NCBI's taxonomy places the organism in Eukaryota, Metazoa, Chordata, Actinopteri, Osteoglossiformes, Mormyridae. The record is from RefSeq and is a predicted model, not a curated record.
CCUGUUUCCAGCUCUGUGUGUGAUUUGUGAGUUAUCUUUUUUGUGGAUGUACUUUCAGUGUCCACGGCAUGCCGUCUUCUGCAGUGGGCUGGCGUCCUCCGCUGGGUGUAGUGCUUUUUAACAUAAAGCCAGAAUCGCUCGAAACUAGACUGGAUAAGUGAUUAUUUCAAAUGGAAUGCAGCUGAGUUAUCGAGUGGGGAUAUUGUGUAAAAAGUGUAUUAUUCACUAGCUGAGGAUGAUCACUGAAAUAGCAUUAGAGAAUAACACUUGCCUCUUCACACCGAGACUUAAAUCCCAUUGUUAGCCGGAGCAUAAAAGGGUUGCGCUUUUGUGAGUCUGAAAUGAAUACUGUUGUGUAGCGAAGGCAGUUGGAGAGGAUGCGCCCUCGCUUCGUGACGAUCAAAGGGGACGGGAGAUGGAAGCGAGGGGGCGACACGGAGCGGCAUGCAAAUGUGAGACGGGCCGUGAUGCAUAGUCCUGGGAGGCCGGAGAAGAUGUAUGAAUCUGAGCGCACUGUCAAGCACCUCAACAGAUGGCCUCGGUGACCCGCAGCAGCACGGCCGCAGGCGGAGACUUAAUGCAUCACUCACAGCCGUCUGCCAGGGGCCAAGGUGGGGUCAGAGUUCGACAAAUAGAUGAGGCCUAUAUGUCUCCCGCAGAUGGAGAUUCGGCCGACACCGGUGUGACGUAUGUCUAAUUUGCUGGACGACCCUGUACCCCUCCCAUGCCCCACCUCUGAGAAUAAUUGGGUGCUUCUGCUUCCUGACCAC